AUGGGGAUGCAGUGUGUUUACAACCGAAUGACUGCGAUGUCUAAACUAAAGAGGAAGAAAUCAGCGAUUGACGAGAGUAAAUGCGAGCAGCAGACGACGAAGAAAAAGUCAAAUGGCAGUCUGAGUUCAGAACAGGACAGCAGCUGCAGCAAAACAUCUACAGGCAGGGCGAGAUGGUGGGAGAGUUCUGAAUUAAGUGACGUGGAGAAACUCUGGGCUCUUACCUUGAGAGCUUUUUGCCCAGCCCUGCAGUCUGAUCAGGAAGAAUGUAUUCCACAGCUCCCCCCACCCUCAUCCACGAAAACUCCUGUACAAAAAGUAAGUGAUUGGAGGGGGUGCAGUGCAGAUGAAGAUGUUAAUCUCCCUCCAGAUUUGCCUGCUCCGUCUUUCCUCAACAACCCACAACCAGUGAAUGAGGUCAAGAACCCCUCACAACCUCCAGCAGCAGAGAACAUGGGAGAAUGUAGUCCACCAACCAUCGCUGAUCAAGAGAAUCAUGCAUAUUUACCUGAUCAGGAGAGUGUGUCAGUAUGUGACGUACAAACUGCUCAGCAGCGCCACCUAGAAGACAAAGUCAGUUGCGUUGAGGGUCAUGUUUUGUCAGACGAACAGAGUGACAAAUUUGACCAAGUGGGGAAAGUCUCAGAAAGGCAAGAAGUCACAAGAGGAUCUGAAGCAGGAUUGGAUGUGCAGUCUGGAGCAGGGAAAGGGGCAAAAACAGGUGCAGGAGGAUCUGGAUCAUGGUUAAGAACAAUAUCUGAAGCAGAAGUAUCGGUAUCAGGCAUGGGAACAAAACAAGGAGCGGGUGGAUCUGGAUCAGGACAGAAAGCAAAAUCUGGAGCAGGAGGGUAUGGAGCAGGUCAGCGAGCAAAAUCAGGAGUAAGAGGAUCUGGACUGGUGCUGGGAGCAACAUCUGGAGUGGGAUUGGAUGCAGAAUCUGGACUAGGGAAGGGGGUAAAAACAGGUGCAGGAGGAUCUGGAUCACGGCUAAGAACAAUAUCUGAAGCAGUUUCAAGCAUGGGAACAAAACACGGAGCAAGUGGAUCUGGAUCAGGGCAGAGAGCAAAAUCAUGGCUAGGAGGAUUUGAGUCAGGGCUGAGAACAAAUUCAAGAGAAAGUGGAUCUGGAUUGGGGCAGGGAACAAAAUCUGAAUUAAAUUUGGGGAAAAAAUCAGGAACAGAAGAAUCUGGAGCGGCAUCUGGAUCAGGACUUGGAAAAAAAUUAAUAGCAGAAGGAUCCGGAACAGCAACUGGAACAGGACUGGGAACAAAAUCAGGAGCAGAAGGAUCUAGAGCAGCAUCUGGAUCAGAACUGGGAACAACAUCAGGAACAGUAGGAUCUGGAGCAGCAUCUGGAUCAGGACUGGGAACAACAUCAGGAACAAAAGGAUCUGGAGCAGCAUCUGGAUCAGGACUGGAGUGCUGCCCAAUGUGUCUGAUGCCAUUUCCUGCAGGGUUCACCCAAAUGCAAUGUGAUGGUCAUCUUGCACAAUGUCUAUCAGAGAUCAAUGAAGAUAUUAUUUGGUGA
Long non-coding RNA from Cyprinus carpio (common carp), 1527 nucleotides. NCBI's taxonomy places the organism in Eukaryota, Metazoa, Chordata, Actinopteri, Cypriniformes, Cyprinidae. The record is from Ensembl.